UUUGUUUUACUGUAAUACUCAAGAAACAUAGUCAGUUAGGGAUUCAUACCCAACUUUUAUGGGUUCAAGGCGUAAUUGUUGUUGCAGAUUUAGGGUUCUACUCAAAUAUUUUUGAGUAGGGUCACUGCAAGAAAACUGUGACAGGUGUUGAAUUUGAAAGAAAUCUCCUAUAGUUGCAGAUGAUAUCCUAGAUGUUCUAGAGGCAUGUUAGGAAUAGGAGUUCCUUUGUUUUCUUGCUAACUUCUUACUGCAUGUAAAGGGUUUCUGCACUACCUAAGUGCUGGUUCAUAAUACAAAUGAUACUUUCUCAAAAAAAAAAAGUAGGAGUUAUCUCAAUGAAGCAAUUUCUAUUUUGUUGGUUAUAUUUCUUUGUUUUACUGUAAUACUCAAGAAACAUAGUCAGUUAGGGAUUCAUACCCAACUUUUAUGGGUUCAAGGCGUAAUUGUUGUUGCAGAUUUAGGGUUCUACUCAAAUAUUUUUGAGUAGGGUCACUGCAAGAAAACUGUGACAGGUGUUGAAUUUGGUCAUGUCUAAUGCUCUAUUGGCGGGAUUUCAUAUAUUACAAUUUAAGAGAAGAUGAAGCAGAAAGCAAUUGAACGACUCUUGCCUUUUUUAAGCUUUCCACUUAAGGGAUGAUCAUCUCUGGUAUGCAUCAUUUAAUGUUUUUGCUUAAAAUGUGGAUGUUUGUAUGCAGCUUGAGGGUAAAUGAUUUUUCAACAUGCUUAUUGAGAUGAUAUUUACCCCAACCAAGGUGUAUUUACCAGCUUUCUCAGCAAGAACAUUCAAGCCUGCUGCCAGAAACCCUAACAAAAAUAUUGCAAAAGACCCGGUUUAGAAUGUCAUAUGAUUUACCCCAAACCACCAUAAUGCCCCUAACCAAUCCACAGUAUGUAUAGGAGGCACUAUGCUGUGUACUUAGCUUGUAC
Molecule: long non-coding RNA, 927 nt
Filed under: Capsicum annuum
Lineage: Eukaryota; Viridiplantae; Streptophyta; Magnoliopsida; Solanales; Solanaceae
Description: long non-coding RNA (CANN_LNC014340)
Source: RNAcentral